Non-coding RNA from Podospora conica, 89 nucleotides. The record is from the annotation of a GenBank genome assembly. Lineage: Eukaryota; Fungi; Ascomycota; Sordariomycetes; Sordariales; Podosporaceae.
GCGUCAGUGGUUUAGUGGUAAAAUCCAUCGUUGCCAUUGCAUAACAUGCGAAUCUCGAUGGGCCCCGCGUUCGAUUCGCGGCUGACGCA